CUCUUGCAGGGUGUGAACGGCAGGUGGUUCCUCCCAUGUAAGGUUCAUCAAGGCCAAUCAGGAUGUUCUUAUAGAGGAGCGGGUUACAUGAGGCAGAUGCCAGAUCAUUCUUACUAAGCGAAAUCCUUGUUCCAGUCCACGGUUCCAUCCUUGAUCUCAGUCAACUGCCUUUUCAUUGUCGGAGUUCACUGGAGGAACCAGUCCAAAGUUUCCCUCUAAUAAUCUCUUUUCUGCUCCUCUGGUUGCCCUCACGGAUUUGCUGUCUGAACUCCUCCUUAGCUCCACCACUCACCUGUCCACCCUCCAACACCACCAUCUCCUGGAACAAACAAAUAAAGGACCGUCACCGACUGCUCAUUACUGCUCACCACAACCUUCCAAUCUCAAAUUCUGUGGGUAGACUCACCUCCUUCCUGGAACUCCACCAUCUUAGAAAUCACCAGUGUGGUAAAAACCAUUCCUCUUCUUGGUGAAGACAGAAGGCAGUGAGCUUUGGGACUUCCCUCAAGCACUGGGAUUGCCAUUUCCUCCCCUGCUGACCUGUACAUGAGACGGUUGACUCUUACAGGAAUCAAGGUGAAGAAGAACAAACACAAACACGGGUAUCUGGAAGGCUGGAGGUCUUGGGCCUGAAAAAAGGCUUGUGGGACUGAGGCACUGUGGAGCAGCUGCUCCGAGCUGCCCGCCAGGCUGUGGGGAAAGAUUGGAAAAGUCAUCAGCAGGCCAGGAACACAUGGCUUGCUCAAAAUAUGGGUGGCCGCCGCACAAAGUCUCCAAACAAAUGGAUUUACAUGAUGUGAUCGCAAUCUUUUGCACUAAGAGGGAGGGUGAACACAACAUAAAUGGCAUUUUCCUGUUGAAAGAGAAAUUGUGAAUGAUGCUAUGGCUCUGUGUUUGAGAGCAGCCAGAGAAAACACAAGAACAGGGCCUUUCUUGUCUGCUUCUGCACGCAGGAUGUUGCAGCCUAGUUUGUGUUUUCUCAGUUCAUAAAGCCAGGAAGAAAAUCUGUAGUGUGUUUUUUUUGUUUGUUUGUAAAUUGGUCUAUGCCAUUCAUUGCGUGUGACACACAUUCACUGUGCAUUUAUGUUAUUACAUGAAGCAUAAUGAAUUACAAAUGUUAUAUUAAAGCAAAGCAAAGCAAAGCAAAACAGAACAACUACCAACCUAUUUCAUGCUGGACAUGUAUUUAUCUUUAGCAUAUCAGCAUAUGUCUUCUUUGGUAAAUGAGCAACCAACUGCCUUCAAAUAUCACUUAAGAGUCCAGCUAUUAAUAUUUUAAUCCCAGUUUAAAUACUUUUGUAAAGACUUUAGAGGGUUGUUAGAAAACAAUCAGCAUUAUGAAGUCCUUGGUGAUGAAGGUAUGGAGAAAUUUAAAGCUUUAAGUUCCAAGCUUUGAACCUUCAGGUGGCCCUGUUUAUUUCAUUAUCUUACAAUAAAAGGAGUAUAGCACAACUGCAAACUCAUCAAGACAUAGCCGUCCAUCUAACUUAACAAGGAGACCCAUGGUGACUUUGGAGAAGCUGCAGAAAUCCAUAGCUCAGAUGCCGUAAUCUGCCAACAGGGCAACUAUGUGCCACGCACUCUGAAAAUCAUCUCUUAAUGGCAGUGUCAAGAUAACAGGCAUUUUUUUUUUUUCAAAGUCACGUUUUCAGUUUGGAAAAAGCCAUGUAGGAGACACAGCAAACAUGAGGAUAGGGGUUCUCUGGUCAGAUAAGACUAAAUUAAUCCUGUUCGUGUUAUGAUUUGCGGGUGUUUUGGGGUUUUUGUUGGUGUUAUUUCACAGUUGAUGUUUUGAAUCAUGUUUCUGUUAUUUUUCUGGUCA
This is a long non-coding RNA of Girardinichthys multiradiatus, 1822 nucleotides long. RefSeq lists it as uncharacterized. Lineage: Eukaryota; Metazoa; Chordata; Actinopteri; Cyprinodontiformes; Goodeidae. The transcript is spliced from 4 exons. The record is from RefSeq and is a predicted model, not a curated record.